GAUAACCAGAAAUGUUUAGCGCAUUUAUGAAACUGGCGCUGAUGUUUACGAUGGUGGCGUGUGGGCAGCGGCAGCAGUGUCUCACGUGGCCUGGCAGGGGAGGGUGUCCACGGCCGGCGGCGGGCGGCGUGGCUGGGUGUGGCGCCCGUCAGACAGGGCGCGGCCUUGGUGCACACACGGGCAGCGGCGGUGACAGGUGUGUGGCGCGGCAGGUGUGUGGCAGCCGACACGUUUCGUGAGCUGCAUUGGAGGGUGGGUGUGCCUCUCCGCACACUCCAGUCAUGUACGAGUUCUGGCUUGGCGGUUCCCAUAUGGGAACCGCCGUACCUGAUUGGCAAUGGGUAGUAAAGGAAUGAGUAUGGAGGAAAUUCAAGAAGCAAUUUUUGACUCUGAUGACAGUACCAGCGAUGUGGAAAUUGAAGCUGCUACAGAGAUCGAGACAGGUGACAUGAGCGAAGACGAGCUUACCACUGAACGACCUGACCCCGAUGACCCGUCGCCCAUACCUGACGUGGCAUCCACAGAAGAAAAGAACUUAUUCAUUAUUCAUUAUUUCUGAACAUAAUUGGCUGCAAAGAAAAUACAUGUGAUUCUAUAUAAAUGUCACUAAAAGUUAGAUCAA
Eriocheir sinensis (Chinese mitten crab) is the source of this 622-nucleotide long non-coding RNA. RefSeq lists it as uncharacterized. The transcript has 2 exons. The record is from RefSeq and is a predicted model, not a curated record. Lineage: Eukaryota; Metazoa; Arthropoda; Malacostraca; Decapoda; Varunidae.